Non-coding RNA from Aegilops tauschii subsp. strangulata, 2876 nucleotides. The record is from RefSeq and is a predicted model, not a curated record. NCBI's taxonomy places the organism in Eukaryota, Viridiplantae, Streptophyta, Magnoliopsida, Poales, Poaceae.
UUGCCUUGCGUUCUGAAGCUCAACUAUUCCUAAUCUGCAGACUGGCUACCUUAGAGUUCUGAUGAACCGUCAAUUGGAUGGACUAGUAAAGCACGAGGGAGAAAGAUGUGGUUGUGUCCAGACUCCAAAGAGGGCAAAAUAGUUCAAUAAUUUCCGAAAUUGAUGGUAUUGCCUGAGAUAUGAUGCUUGCACACAAGAGAAGUUCAUGCUUGUGAUUGCAAAAUUGGUGUAUAUGUAAAGAUCUUGUCCUGGUUUCAUGAAUUGGAUGGGAUUUUUGGAAAGUCUCACUUGGGCAGGACAACUAUGGUCUUGAUUAUAUGUAUGUUGACUUUCCCACUUUUCUUUUGAGCAGGCUACUUCAAUUUUAGGUGAGCUGGCAGGGAUCACAAGCAUCGGUGUUGCAUUCCUGAAUCUCACAUACACAAGUAAGUAAUAUUCUCCCUCACAUAAAGUCCUUUAUUUGCAUGUAUAGUGUUUUGCUCACUUUCUUUCUAGCUAGCUGCUGCAUUCAUUCCUUUCCAUGGCACCGUAUAAUUCAUACCUCAGAGAGGUCAUUUUUGUGCAUGAUGUUCUGGUGUAACUACCAUUAUCUUUACUGGAGCAGAGCAACAUUUAAUAGGAAUUCCACCAUAAAUAUUUACCCAGAUACAACAUUCUUCUCUGGAAUUUGAGUUUUUUCCAGAAGGUUUAGGAUCUAAGGAUGAGCUAUCAGUGGUAUUGAUUAUACAACGAGUUUGUACAAAAUGUUCGCUGGUGUUGGGUGUUUACCUUUUAUCACUUCUAUAUCCCCUUAUUGUGUUUCUCUGUUUCUAGAAAGUAGGCCAUUUGUUCCAGGCUUUCAAGUUUGUGCCAUAACCUGAAGGAGAAAGAGUUCAUUAUUGACCAGCAGUUAAAAGCAGGUUCAGUUUUUUACCUCAUUUUCCAUCCCCACAGUAGCACUUUCUGUUAGUUCGAACAAUAUCUCAAUGCAUUAUUUACACACCUAGCUUGUGCUCUGUGACCAGAAUUGGUAAACUGUAGCCGUGAUAGUACUACACUGUAUUCAGAAAUAGCAGGAGGAGAUAAAGCUAGGUGUUGCAUAUAGGCCGGUGGUGAACCCUUUUAGAGCUGACGUUCCUUCAAAGUUGGAUAUCAUCUACAGUAACCUCACCGGAUCCAUAGAUCAACUGAACAAACAAAAGGCACUUAAGAUCUUUACUGGUGUCCAGAAUGUGUUGUCUGAUCAUCUAAGCGAACUGGCCCACUAUGCUAAGGAAUUAGGACAGUUCAGUUACUUGAUCGGACAGUUUAGCAUGCAGAAAUUGGAAGUAGGCUUAGAAAAACACCACCAAGCUUGAAAGCAGAAAAAGAUGCACACCCUCACCAUUAUUAUCUUCCUGUGAUAAUUUUAGGCUUGUACCAGGAAACUUGAAGAGGCAAUUUUAGUCGGUGGUGUGCUUUAAAAUUUCAUAUUACUGUUCGGUGUUUCUCCAUAACCGAGCUGCACGACCUCCGCCUUGACGAGCUGCUGGACCUAGGCCUCGACGAGACACCGGACCUCGGCCUCCCUCUGGUUUUCAUGCUGGAACAAUUUUGUAGAGACAAAUUGGAAGAGUGCAGCUGCCCUGGCUCAUGCAAUUGGAAGAAUUUAUGUUUUUUUCUACUCAGAAAAGGAAGCUAUUUUUUUCUGGUCGUAGAUAGAAAGGAUGCAACUUUGUCAGGGGUAGUAGAUACAAAGUUCAGUGUGUACAACAUAUAAACCGGAAGCCGUGCUUCCGGUUUCAACAUAUAAACUUUUUUGGUCAUACAAUUUGAAAUUUUAGCAUUUCACAUAGACAACCUAUCAUUUGUGGUUCAUCACAUUUACAUGCUCUGAUUCCCACGCUCAUGUGAAUAAGUAUAUGACAGAAAUUUCAAAGGAUCGUGUCAGUUAGAAUUAUCACAUGGGUACCCAUUUUUCUCCAUGAAAAUACCUCAUGCAAUGCUAUGUUCCAUAUUUUCUACAUUAUGAUAAGUUCGUAAUUUAUAUAUUGUUUCGACAUUAUAUUUUGUACUGAGACAUGCAGCCAUAUAUUCUAUUUCUGCUUCAAUAUAUUCUCCCAUGUGCAUUCUAAUAGACAAUUGGCCCUCUUUUUUUGUGAUAAUGAACUGCGUGAUUUAUGAUAGUCCUUGAUGAAAUGCCACUAAGUUAGUUUACUAUCUCAAGUCAGAUUCGAUAAUAAUUUAUUUUAUAUUGCCAUGUCGUUGCAGAUGAUCUCAGGUAAUCUGAUGCAUAAAAACAAAUUUUUGCUUAUUGUACAUGUCAUUAGCAGAUAUAUAUGAGAUGUGAGAGAGACAGAAGCUAAUAUCUUGGUAGUAUAAAUCAUUAUUGGAAUAUGAUGAAGGUUACAAAAGAAUGUUUUAAUAUAACAAGAUGCAAGUACUUGAUUUAAAUGAUGACUCACUUUGCUUCUUUUUUUAGUAGAGAGUGCAGUAGGCCAGUCGACAGACUGCCGCUAGCUUCUAGAGUUCCAAUACAACUCUACAACUCCACGAGUAUUUAUUGAUUAUCUCUCUUCUGAUUUGUUGUUCUUUCUUAAUUGUCUUCCUCUAUCUGGUACCAGAUAUUUGCAGCAAAGUCUUUGUAAAAUUAUGUUUACUUACAUCUAAUAUCUUGUUUCUUAAUUGCCUCCUUUUAUCCAUAACCAGAUGUUUAUAGCAGUUUCUGUAAAAUUGUGUUUACUUAUCUCGCGGAAAAACCUGUAACUCUCUUAAUUGUCAAGGGCACAUGUAGAAGCCAGUUUUCUACUUCAUGGUUAGAAUUGACUUCUUUUCUUGUAUUUGAAUCUAGGUAUCAUGUUGAGAUUAAGAAAAACCUAGGUCUUAAUUGAUUGCUACUACUAUCAGUGCAAUUCUUU